UAGUUAAGUCGGUAAAAGGGAAUCCAGUGUAAGUCUGGAACUGUAUCCGUAGCUGUAAAUCAAUAAAACCGGGCGUUCUACGAACCACUGACCAUAAAUAUAGGAAAGGUUGGGAAGGUGAUUGCCGAGUAAAGGGAGAUGAGUCAGAAAACCUGCCAUAAUUGAA
This 166-nucleotide non-coding RNA is filed under the name uncultured Odoribacter sp. Lineage: Bacteria; Pseudomonadati; Bacteroidota; Bacteroidia; Bacteroidales; Odoribacteraceae. The record is from RNAcentral.